GGUCUAGGUCCUAGAGACUGAACCAGAGAUAGGUGGUGACAGGUCUAGGUCCUAGAGACUGAACCAGAGAUAGGUGGUGACAGGUCUAGGGCCUAGAGACUGAACCAGAGAUAGGUGACAGGUCUAGGUCCUAGAGACUGAACCAGAGAUAGGUGGUGACAGGUCUAGGUCCUAGAGACUGAACCAGAGAUAGGUGAUGACAGGUCUAGGUCCUAGAGACUGAACCAGAGAUAGGUGGUGACAGGUCUAGGUCCUAGAGACUGAACCAGUCCUGUCAGUCAACACCAGAGAUAGGUGACAGGUCUAGGUCCUAGAGACUGAACCAGUCCUGUCAGUCAACACCAGAGAUAGGUGACAGGUCUAGGUCCUAGAGACUGAACCAGAGAUAGGUGGUGACAGGUCUAGGUCCUAGAGACUGAACCAGAGAUAGGUGGUGACAGGUCUAGGUCCUAGAGACUGAACCAGAGAUAGGUGGUGACAGGUCUAGGGCCUAGAGACUGAACCAGAGAUAGGUGAUGACAGGUCUAGGUCCUAGAGACUGAACCAGAGAUAGGUGGUGACAGGUCUAGGUCCUAGAGACUGAACCAGAGAUAGGUGGUGACAGGUCUAGGUUCUAGAGACUGAACCAGAGAUAGGUGGUGACAGGUCUAGGUCCUAGAGACUGAACCAGAGAUAGGUGGUGACAGGUCUAGGUUCUAGAGACUGAACCAGAGAUAGGUGAUGACAGGUCUAGGUCCUAGAGACUGAACCAGAGAUAGGUGGUGACAGGUCUAGGUUCUAGAGACUGAACCAGAGAUAGGUGACAGGUCUAGGGCCUAGAGACUGAACCAGAGAUAGGUGGUGACAGGUCUAGGGCCUAGAGACUGAACCAGAGAUAGGUGGUGACAGGUCUAGGUCCUAUAGACUGAACCAGAGAUAGGUGGUGACAGGUCUAGGUCCUAGAGACUGAACCAGUCCUGUCAGUCAACACCAGAGAUAGGUGACAGGUCUAGGUCCUAGAGACUGAACCAGAGAUAGGUGACAGGUCUAGGUCCUAGAGACUGAACCAGAGAUAGGUGGUGACAGGUCUAGGUCCUAGAGACUGAACCAGAGAUAGGUGGUGACAGGUCUAGGUUCUAGAGACUGAACCAGAGAUAGGUGGUGACAGGUCUAGGUCCUAGAGACUGAACCAGAGAUAGGUGGUGACAGGUCUAGGUCCUAGAGACUGAACCAGAGAUAGGUGGUGACAGGUCUAGGUCCUAGAGACUGAACCAGAGAUAGGUGAUGACAGGUCUAGGUCCUAGAGACUGAACCAGAGAUAGGUGGUGACAGGUCUAGGUUCUAGAGACUGAACCAGAGAUAGGUGGUGACAGGUCUAGGUCCUAGAGACUGAACCAGAGAUAGGUGGUGACAGGUCUAGGUUCUAGAGACUGAACCAGAGAUAGGUGGUGACAGGUCUAGGUCCUAGAGACUGAACCAGAGAUAGGUGGUGACAGGUCUAGGUCCUAGAGACUGAACCAGAGAUAGGUGGUGACAGGUCUAGGUCCUAGAGACUGAACCAGAGAUAGGUGGUGACAGGUCUAGGGCCUAGAGACUGAACCAGAGAUAGGUGACAGGUCUAGGUCCUAGAGACUGAACCAGAGAUAGGUGGUGACAGGUCUAGGUUCUAGAAACUGAACCAGAGAUAGGAGGUGACAGGUCUAGGUCCUAGAGACUGAACCAGAGAUAGGUGGUGACAGGUCUAGGUCCUAGAGACUGAACCAGAGAUAGGUGGUGACA
Salvelinus fontinalis (brook trout) is the source of this 1758-nucleotide long non-coding RNA. RefSeq lists it as uncharacterized. The transcript has 3 exons. The record is from RefSeq and is a predicted model, not a curated record. Lineage: Eukaryota; Metazoa; Chordata; Actinopteri; Salmoniformes; Salmonidae.